CCUACGGGGGACAGCAGUGAGGAAUAUUGGUCAAUGGACGCAAGUCUGAACCAGCCAUGCCGCGUGCAGGAUGACGGCUCUAUGAGUUGUAAACUGCUUUUGUACGAGGGUAAACCCCGAUACGUGUCUCGGGUUGAAAGUAUCGUACGAAUAAGGAUCGGCUAACUCCGUGCCAGCAGCCGCGGUAAUACGGAGGAUCCGAGCGUUAUCCGGAUUUAUUGGGUUUAAAGGGUGCGUAGGCGGUUGGAUAAGUUAGAGGUGAAAUGUCGGGGCUCAACCCCGGAACUGCCUCUAAUACUGUUAGACUAGAGAAUAGUUGCGGUAGGCGGAAUGUAUGGUGUAGCGGUGAAAUGCUUAGAGAUCAUACAGAACACCGAUUGCGAAGGCAGCUUACCAAACUAUAUCUGACGUUGAGGCACGAAAGCGUGGGUAGCAAACAGGAUUAGAUACCCGAGUAGUC
RNAcentral lists this ribosomal RNA (460 nucleotides) under uncultured bacterium. RNAcentral describes it as "partial 16S ribosomal RNA". It matches the Rfam family "Bacterial small subunit ribosomal RNA", at positions 338 to 795 of the family's 1533-position model. The record is from RNAcentral.